RNAcentral lists this ribosomal RNA (938 nucleotides) under uncultured beta proteobacterium. RNAcentral describes it as "bacterial SSU rRNA". It matches the Rfam family "Bacterial small subunit ribosomal RNA", at positions 58 to 992 of the family's 1533-position model. The record is from RNAcentral. Lineage: Bacteria; Pseudomonadati; Pseudomonadota; Betaproteobacteria.
CAAGUCGAGCGGCAGCGCGGGGCAACCUGGCGGCGAGCGGCGAACGGGUGAGUAAUGCAUCGGAACGUGUCCAUGUCGUGGGGGAUAGCCCGGCGAAAGCCGGAUUAAUACCGCAUACGCCCGAGAGGGGAAAGUGGGGGACCGCAAGGCCUCACGCGAUUGGGUCGGCCGAUGUCCGAUUAGCUAGUUGGCGGGGUAAAGGCCCACCAAGGCGAUGAUCGGUAGCUGGUCUGAGAGGAUGAUCAGCCACACUGGGACUGAGACACGGCCCAGACUCCUACGGGAGGCAGCAGUGGGGAAUUUUGGACAAUGGGGGCAACCCUGAUCCAGCCAUUCCGCGUGAGUGGAGAAGGCCUUCGGGUUGUAAAGCUCUUUUGUCCGGAGCGAAACGGGUGACGUGAAUAUCGUUGCCUACUGACGGUACCGGAAGAAUAAGCACCGGCUAACUACGUGCCAGCAGCCGCGGUAAUACGUAGGGUGCGAGCGUUAAUCGGAAUUACUGGGCGUAAAGCGUGCGCAGGCGGUUUUGUAAGCCAGAUGUGAAAUCCCCGGGCUUAACCUGGGAAUGGCAUUUGGGACUGCAAGGCUGGAGUGUGGCAGAGGAGACUGGAAUUCUUGGUGUAGCAGUGAAAUGCGUAGAUAUCAGGAGGAAUACCGAUGGCGAAGGCAGGUCUCUGGGCUGACACUGACGCUCAUGCACGAAAGCGUGGGGAGCAAACAGGAUUAGAUACCCUGGUAGUCCACGCCCUAAACGAUGUCGACUGGUUGUUGGGGGUUUGACACUCUCAGUAACGAAGCUAACGCGUGAAGUCGACCGCCUGGGGAGUACGGCCGCAAGGUUAAAACUCAAAGGAAUUGACGGGGACCCGCACAAGCGGUGGAUUAUGUGGAUUAAUUCGAUGCACCGCGAAAAACCUUACCUACCCUUGACAUGUCCA